CCGACUGCAAAUCGUCGUAGCAGUACAAGUAUCUCGUCUCUCUGCUUCUCAUUGUUUCAACUUUUUCCUCUGCACCUAAAUUCCUAGACCUAUCUGACCCAGGCUCUUUACGCUUGUGUUAAUCUGAUAUCAUCACCAUUGAAAGAUAAGGCAACAAAAUAUAUUUUUGGGUUGCUGAAAUGUGGCAUCUCAAGUACGUUAUUUGCUAAGAGUAUAAGCCCCGAGUUUGAUUCUUUGGUCUGAAUGAGCAUUCAUGCCUUUACUUGAUAUUGCCAGCGCUCAACCUUCAUUGCACAGCCCCCUGGUUCCAGUGAGGGUUCAAAUCCUUAUUCAUGGUCAACUCGCAUCUAAUCCAUGGAAAUUGCCUAAAAGAGUAAAUUUUCAUGUGGUGAAACUGGAGAAUCCAAGUGGAAGACCGCAGAUUAGGCUGUUGCUACCCUUGAACCCAAGUGCUCAGUUCUAAAAGAAGAUCAACACAAGAAGUCAAAGCAUGGUUGUGGUUCGACUCCUUCGUCAACUCAGCUUGAACCCUUCAUUCCCCGUGACUCAGAUGAAGAAGUGGAUGAGAGAGAAAAGUUAAGACGGAGGAGAAUUUCUAAAGCAAAUAAAGGAAACACACCAUGGAACAAAGGCAGGAAGCACAGUGCCGAGACACUUCAGCUGAUAAGGGAGAGAACAAGGCUUGCUAUGCAGAACCCUAAGG
Long non-coding RNA from Hibiscus syriacus, 703 nucleotides. RefSeq lists it as uncharacterized. The transcript has 3 exons. NCBI's taxonomy places the organism in Eukaryota, Viridiplantae, Streptophyta, Magnoliopsida, Malvales, Malvaceae. The record is from RefSeq and is a predicted model, not a curated record.